AUACAGAGGGUGCGAGCGUUAAUCGGAAUUACUGGGCGUAAAGCGCGCGUAGGCGGCUUGGUCAGUCGGAUGUGAAAGCCCCGGGCUCAACCCGGGAACUGCAUCCGAUACUGCAUGGCUAGAGUAUGGGAGAGGGAAGUGGAAUUUCCGGUGUAGCGGUGAAAUGCGUAGAUAUCGGAAGGAACACCAGUGGCGAAGGCGACUUCCUGGCCCAAUACUGACGCUGAGGUGCGAAAGCGUGGGGAGCAAACAGGAUUAGAUACCCCAGUAGUCC
This 274-nucleotide ribosomal RNA is filed under the name uncultured bacterium. RNAcentral describes it as "partial 16S ribosomal RNA". It matches the Rfam family "Bacterial small subunit ribosomal RNA", at positions 523 to 796 of the family's 1533-position model. The record is from RNAcentral.